This 469-nucleotide ribosomal RNA is filed under the name Streptococcus anginosus. RNAcentral describes it as "bacterial SSU rRNA". It matches the Rfam family "Bacterial small subunit ribosomal RNA", at positions 28 to 471 of the family's 1533-position model. The record is from RNAcentral. Lineage: Bacteria; Bacillati; Bacillota; Bacilli; Lactobacillales; Streptococcaceae.
GACGAACGCUGGCGGCGUGCCUAAUACAUGCAAGUAGGACGCACAGUCUAUACCGUAGCUUGCUACACCAUAGACUGUGAGUUGCGAACGGGUGAGUAACGCGUAGGUAACCUGCCUAUUAGAGGGGGAUAACUAUUGGAAACGAUAGCUAAUACCGCAUAACAGUAUGUAACACAUGUUAGAUGCUUGAAAGAUGCAAUUGCAUCGCUAGUAGAUGGACCUGCGUUGUAUUAGCUAGUAGGUAGGGUAAUGGCCUACCUAGGCGACGAUACAUAGCCGACCUGAGAGGGUGAUCGGCCACACUGGGACUGAGACACGGCCCAGACUCCUACGGGAGGCAGCAGUAGGGAAUCUUCGGCAAUGGGGGGAACCCUGACCGAGCAACGCCGCGUGAGUGAAGAAGGUUUUCGGAUCGUAAAGCUCUGUUGUUAAGGAAGAACGAGUGUGAGAAUGGAAAGUUCAUACUGUG